Molecule: transfer RNA, 69 nt
Filed under: Wallago attu
Lineage: Eukaryota; Metazoa; Chordata; Actinopteri; Siluriformes; Siluridae
Description: tRNA-Glu
Rfam family: tRNA
About the family: Transfer RNA (tRNA) molecules are approximately 80 nucleotides in length. Their secondary structure includes four short double-helical elements and three loops (D, anti-codon, and T loops).
Source: RNAcentral
GUUCUUGUAGUUGAAUUACAACGGUGGUUUUUCAAGUCACUGGUCCUGGUUAGAGUCCUGGCGGGAAUU